UACAGAGGGGGCAAGCGUUGUUCGGAAUUACUGGGCGUAAAGGGCGCGUAGGCGGCCCGCUAAGUCGAACGUGAAAUCCCCGAGCUCAACUCGGGAACUGCGUCCGAUACUGGUGGGCUUGAAUCCGGGAGAGGGAUGCAGAAUUCCAGGUGUAGCGGUGAAAUGCGUAGAUAUCUGGAGGAACACCGGUGGCGAAGGCGGCAUCCUGGACCGGCAUUGACGCUGAGGCGCGAAAGCUAGGGGAGCAAACGGG
This 253-nucleotide ribosomal RNA is filed under the name uncultured bacterium. Its description in RNAcentral is "partial 16S ribosomal RNA". It matches the Rfam family "Bacterial small subunit ribosomal RNA", at positions 524 to 776 of the family's 1533-position model. The record is from RNAcentral.